UAUUUUUGACAGAUUACAUUCACUUCAAAUUUGACACAUUUAAGAUUCUACGAUUGUUUUCCAUUUCCAACUAAAUUUAAUAAUUUUUUUAAUAUUUUCCUUUUAAUUCUGUAAAAUAGAAUAAUGUCUGUUGAAAAAAACAAGCCAAAAGGAGACUUAGGUCUUCUUGAAGAAGAUGAUGAAUUCGAAGAAUUCCCUGCUGAAGAUUUCAAUGCGGAUGAGGAGGAAGAAGCUUUGAAUGUUUGGGAAGACAAUUGGGACGACGACAAUGUGGAAGAUGAUUUCAGCCAACAAUUGAAAAUACAUCAAAUCAACAAAGCAAUGGAGACGUAGAUUUUUCUUAUAAAUUUGUUUAAUAUUUAAAUUAGGAAAUCAGACAAAAUAAUACAUUUUACAAAUUAACAAACAAACAAACAACGUUUUAUCAAUUAAAAAACAAAUCAAAAAUGAA
Long non-coding RNA from Eupeodes corollae, 451 nucleotides. RefSeq lists it as uncharacterized. The record is from RefSeq and is a predicted model, not a curated record. The transcript is spliced from 2 exons. Lineage: Eukaryota; Metazoa; Arthropoda; Insecta; Diptera; Syrphidae.